This 204-nucleotide unclassified non-coding RNA is filed under the name Hevea brasiliensis (rubber tree). Lineage: Eukaryota; Viridiplantae; Streptophyta; Magnoliopsida; Malpighiales; Euphorbiaceae. The record is from RNAcentral.
UGAUUGGCACACUAUGGAAGUUUCGUUGCCCAUUGGUACAGCAAAUAUUGAUACCCCUGUUCAAGUUGUUGUUGGUGGUGGUUUCAUUUGUAGAAUCUCUUAAAUAAAACUUGGCAAGUGGGAAAGGCUCAAAAAUUUUUUUCCUUCUUUGGGCCUCAUGAAAAAUAACCAAAGUUUCAGUCAAACUCAGAGUGUCAAAGUUGG